This 647-nucleotide ribosomal RNA is filed under the name Vibrio sp. UST050418-014. RNAcentral describes it as "bacterial SSU rRNA". It matches the Rfam family "Bacterial small subunit ribosomal RNA", at positions 393 to 1037 of the family's 1533-position model. The record is from RNAcentral. Lineage: Bacteria; Pseudomonadati; Pseudomonadota; Gammaproteobacteria; Vibrionales; Vibrionaceae.
CAUGCCGCGUGUAUGAAGAAGGCUUCGGGUUGUAAAGUACUUUCAGUCGUGAGGAAGGUGGUGUUGUUAAUAGCAGCAUCAUUUGACGUUAGCGACAGAAGAAGCACCGGCUAACUCCGUGCCAGCAGCCGCGGUAAUACGGAGGGUGCGAGCGUUAAUCGGAAUUACUGGGCGUAAAGCGCAUGCAGGUGGUGGAUUAAGUCAGAUGUGAAAGCCCGGGGCUCAACCUCGGAACCGCAUUUGAAACUGGUUCACUAGAGUACUGUAGAGGGGGGUAGAAUUUCAGGUGUAGCGGUGAAAUGCGUAGAGAUCUGAAGGAAUACCGGUGGCGAAGGCGGCCCCCUGGACAGAUACUGACACUCAGAUGCGAAAGCGUGGGGAGCAAACAGGAUUAGAUACCCUGGUAGUCCACGCCGUAAACGAUGUCUACUUGGAGGUUGUGGCCUUGAGCCGUGGCUUUCGGAGCUAACGCGUUAAGUAGACCGCCUGGGGAGUACGGUCGCAAGAUUAAAACUCAAAUGAAUUGACGGGGGCCCGCACAAGCGGUGGAGCAUGUGGUUUAAUUCGAUGCAACGCGAAGAACCUUACCUACUCUUGACAUCUACAGGAUCUGCGGAGACGCGGGAGUGCUCGGGAACUGUAGACAG